UACGUAGGGGGCAAGCGUUGUCCGGAUUUAUUGGGCGUAAAGAGCGUGUAGGCGGUUCGGUAGGUCCGUUGUGAAAACUCGAGGCUCAACCUCGAGACGCCGAUGGAAACCAUCGAACUAGAGUCCGGAAGAGGAGAGUGGAGUUCCUGGUGUAGCGGUGAAAUGCGCAGAUAUCAGGAAGAACACCCGUGGCUAAGGCGGCUCUCUAGUACGGUACUGACGCUGAGACGCGAAAGCGUGGGGAGCGAACAGG
RNAcentral lists this ribosomal RNA (253 nucleotides) under uncultured bacterium. RNAcentral's name for it is "partial 16S ribosomal RNA". It matches the Rfam family "Bacterial small subunit ribosomal RNA", at positions 524 to 776 of the family's 1533-position model. The record is from RNAcentral.